GUAAGGUCUACCUACACCUGUUGUAUUCAGCAUUUCACCGUAAGGUCUACUACACCUGUUGUAUUCAGCAUUUCACUGUUAGGUCUACACCUGUUGUAUUCAGCAUUUCACUGUAAGGUCUACUACACCUGUUGUAUUCAUCAUUUCCCUGUCAGGUCUACCUACACCUGUUGUAUUCAGCAUUUCACUGUAAGGUCUACCUACACCUGUUGUAUUCAGCAUUUCACUGUAAGGUCUACCUACACCUGUUGUAUUCAGCAUUUCACUGUAAGGUCUACCUACACCUGUUGUAUUCAGCAUUUCACUGUAAGGUCUACUACACCUGUUGUAUUCAGCAUUUCACUGUGAGGUCUACCUACACCUGUUGU
This is a long non-coding RNA of Oncorhynchus tshawytscha (Chinook salmon), 368 nucleotides long. Lineage: Eukaryota; Metazoa; Chordata; Actinopteri; Salmoniformes; Salmonidae. The record is from Ensembl.